This 640-nucleotide ribosomal RNA is filed under the name Nuttalliella aff. namaqua CAM-2012. Its description in RNAcentral is "SSU rRNA". It matches the Rfam family "Eukaryotic small subunit ribosomal RNA", at positions 1162 to 1822 of the family's 1831-position model. Lineage: Eukaryota; Metazoa; Arthropoda; Arachnida; Ixodida; Nuttalliellidae. The record is from RNAcentral.
GAGCACACCAGGAGUGGAGCCUGCGGCUUAAUUUGACUCAACACGGGAAAUCUCACCCGGCCCGGACACUGGAAGGAUUGACAGAUUGAGAGCUCUUUCUUGAUUCGGUGGAUGGUGGUGCAUGGCCGUUCUUAGUUGGUGGAGCGAUUUGUCUGGUUAAUUCCGAUAACGAACGAGACUCUAGCCUAUUAAAUAGGUGCGAGGUUCUCUGCACCUUACAACCUUCUUAGAGGGACAAGCGGCUUCUAGCCGCACGAAACAGAGCAAUAACAGGUCUGUGAUGCCCUUAGAUGUCCGGGGCCGCACGCGCGCUACACUGAAGGAAGCAGCGUGUAUUUGCCCCUGUCUGCAAAGACUGGGUAACCCGUGGAACCUCCUUCGUGAUUGGGAUAGGGGCUUGAAAUUGUUCCCCUUGAACGAGGAAUUCCCAGUAAGCGCGAGUCAUAAGCUCGCGUUGAUUACGUCCCUGCCCUUUGUACACACCGCCCGUCGCUACUACCGAUUGAAUGAUUUAGUGAGGUCUUCAAACUGGCGCUCGGAGCGUCCUUUCGGUCGCGCCGGCGUGCUGGGAAGAUGACCAAACUUGAUCAUUUAGAGGAAGUAAAAGUCGUAACAAGGUUUCCGUAGGUGAACCUGGGAA